UGGGGGAUAUUGCACAAUGGGGGAAACCCUGAUGCAGCAACGCCGCGUGAAGGAAGAAGGUCUUCGGAUUGUAAACUUUUGUCCUUGGUGAAGAUAAUGACGGUAGCCAAGGAGGAAGCUCCGGCUAACUCCGUGCCAGCAGCCGCGGUAAUACGGAGGGUGCAAGCGUUAAUCGGAAUAACUGGGCGUAAAGGGCAUGCAGGCGGUUCAUCAAGUAGGAUGUGAAAUCCCCGGGCUCAACCUGGGAACAGCAUACUAAACUGGUGGACUAGAGUAUUGCAGGGGGAGACGGAAUUCCAGGUGUAGCGGUGGAAUGCGUAGAUAUCUGGAAGAACACCAAAGGCGAAGGCAGUCUCCUGGGCAAAUACUGACGCUCAUAUGCGAAAGCGUGGGUAGCAAACAGGAUUAGAUACCCUGGUAGU
RNAcentral lists this ribosomal RNA (422 nucleotides) under uncultured Succinivibrio sp. Its description in RNAcentral is "bacterial SSU rRNA". It matches the Rfam family "Bacterial small subunit ribosomal RNA", at positions 355 to 794 of the family's 1533-position model. Lineage: Bacteria; Pseudomonadati; Pseudomonadota; Gammaproteobacteria; Aeromonadales; Succinivibrionaceae. The record is from RNAcentral.